UUCCGGUUGAUCCUGCCGGACCCCACUGCUAUCGAGAUGGGACUAAGGUAUGCUAGUCGAACGACCAGAACUAUGUCUGGGAGUGGCACACUGCUCAGUAACACGUAGCUAACCUACCCUUAGGACGUGGAUACCCCCGAGAAAUUGGGGUUAAUCCGCGAUAGAUGUAAUGUCCUGGAAUGGUAUUACGUCUAAAGGUAUUUCAUACAUGUUUGAAAUAUGCCUAAGGAUGGGGCUGCGGCCGAUCAGGCUGUUGGUGAGGUAAUGGCUCACCAAACCUUUGACCGGUACGGGCCAUGAGAGUGGUAGCCCGGAGAUGGACACUGAGACAAGGGUCCAGGCCCUAAGGGGCGCAGCAACCGCGAAACCUCCACAAUGCACUCACGUGCGAUGGGGCUAUCUCGAGUGCCACCUGAUGAAGGUGGCUUUUCCUUGGUCUAAAAAGCCUCGGGAAUAAGAGGGGGGCAAGACUGGUGUCAGCCGCCGCGGUAACACCAGCCCCUCGAGUGGUGGGGAUGAUUAUUUGGCCUAAAGCGUCCGUAGCCGGCCGGGUAAGUCUCCCGUUAAAUCCAACGUCUCAAGCGUUGGACUGCGGGAGAUACUGCCUGGCUAGAGAGUGGGAGAGGUCAGCGGUAUUCUGGGGGUAGGGGCGAAAUCCUUUGAUCCCCGGAGGACCACCAGUGGCGAAGGCUGCUGACUAGAACACGUCUGACGGUCAGGGACGAAAGCUGGGGUAGCGAACCGGAUUAGAUACCCGGGUAGUCCCAGCCGUAAACGAUGCAUGCUAGGUGUUGGGUUGGCCACGAGCCACCCCAGUGCCGCAGGGAAGCCGUUAAGCAUGCCGCCUGGGAAGUACGAUCGCAAGAUUGAAACUUAAAGGAAUUGGCGGGGGAGCACCACCAGGCGUGAAGCCUGCGGUUUAAUUGGAUUCAACGCCGGA
This 940-nucleotide ribosomal RNA is filed under the name uncultured archaeon. RNAcentral describes it as "bacterial SSU rRNA". It matches the Rfam family "Archaeal small subunit ribosomal RNA", at positions 1 to 922 of the family's 1478-position model. The record is from RNAcentral.